GGCUUCGUGGCCCAAUGGUAAGGCGUCUGACUACGAGUAAUCGAUCGCCUUGAUUGAUUCCUGAAGUUAAUCAGGAGAUUCUGGGUUCGAGCCCCAGCGAGGUCA
Molecule: non-coding RNA, 105 nt
Organism: Xylaria intraflava
Lineage: Eukaryota; Fungi; Ascomycota; Sordariomycetes; Xylariales; Xylariaceae
Source: the annotation of a GenBank genome assembly